This 497-nucleotide ribosomal RNA is filed under the name uncultured bacterium. RNAcentral's name for it is "partial 16S ribosomal RNA". It matches the Rfam family "Bacterial small subunit ribosomal RNA", at positions 28 to 507 of the family's 1533-position model. The record is from RNAcentral.
GACGAACGCUGGCGGCGUGCCUAAUACAUGCAAGUAGAACGCUGAAGAGAGGAGCUUGCUCUUCUUGGAUGAGUUGCGAACGGGUGAGUAACGCGUAGGUAACCUGCCUUGUAGCGGGGGAUAACUAUUGGAAACGAUAGCUAAUACCGCAUAACAAUGGAUGACACAUGUCAUUUAUUUGAAAGGGGCAAUUGCUCCACUACAAGAUGGACCUGCGUUGUAUUAGCUAGUAGGUGAGGUAAUGGCUCACCUAGGCGACGAUACAUAGCCGACCUGAGAGGGGGGUCGGCCACACUGGGACUGGGACACGGCCCAGACUCCUACGGGGAGGAGCCGUAGGGAAUCUUCGGCAAUGGGGGGAACGCUGACCGAGCAACGCCGGGUGGGGGAAGGAGGGUUUCGGAUCGUAAAGCUCUGUUGUAAGUCAAGGACGGGUGUGAGGGUGGAAAGUUCACACUGUGACGGUAGCUGACCAGAAAGGGACGGCUAACUACGUG